ACUCCUACGGGAGGCAGCAGUGGGGAAUAUUGGACAAUGGGCGCAAGCCUGAUCCAGCCAUGCCGCGUGAGUGAUGACGGCCUUAGGGUUGUAAAGCUCUUUCAGUGGUGAAGAUAAUGACGGUAACCACAGAAGAAGCCCCGGCUAACUCCGUGCCAGCAGCCGCGGUAAUACGGAGGGGCUAGCGUUGUUCGGAAUCAUUGGGUUUAAAGGGUCCGUAGGUGGACGAUUAAGUCAGAGGUGAAAUCUUGCAGCUCAACUGUAAAAUUGCCUUUGAUACUGGUUGUCUUGAGUUAUUAUGAAGUGGUUAGAAUAUGUAGUGUAGCGGUGAAAUGCAUAGAUAUUACAUAGAAUACCAAUUGCGAAGGCAGAUCACUAAUAAUAUACUGACACUGAUGGACGAAAGCGUGGGUAGCGAACAGGAUUAGAUACCCUGGUAGGCUCUGC
Molecule: ribosomal RNA, 447 nt
Filed under: uncultured bacterium
Lineage: Bacteria
Description: bacterial SSU rRNA
Rfam family: Bacterial small subunit ribosomal RNA
Source: RNAcentral